This 733-nucleotide ribosomal RNA is filed under the name uncultured bacterium. RNAcentral's name for it is "bacterial SSU rRNA". It matches the Rfam family "Bacterial small subunit ribosomal RNA", at positions 90 to 818 of the family's 1533-position model. The record is from RNAcentral.
UGAGAGCGGCGGACGGGUGAGUAAUGCCUAGGAAUCUGCCUAGUGGUGGGGGAUAACGUUCGGAAACGGACGCUAAUACCGCAUACGUCCUACGGGAGAAAGCGGGGGAUCUUCGGACCUCGCGCCAUUAGAUGAGCCUAGGUCGGAUUAGCUAGUUGGUGAGGUAAUGGCUCACCAAGGCGACGAUCUGUAACUGGUCUGAGAGGAUGAUCAGUCACACUGGAACUGAGACACGGUCCAGACUCCUACGGGAGGCAGCAGUGGGGAAUAUUGGACAAUGGGCGAAAGCCUGAUCCAGCCAUGCCGCGUGUGUGAAGAAGGUCUUCGGAUUGUAAAGCACUUUAAGUUGGGAGGAAGGGUAGUAACUUAAUACGUUGCUACUUUGACGUUACCGACAGAAUAAGCACCGGCUAACUUCGUGCCAGCAGCCGCGGUAAUACGAAGGGUGCAAGCGUUAAUCGGAAUUACUGGGCGUAAAGCGCGCGUAGGUGGUUCAGUAAGUUGGAAGUGAAAUCCCCGGGCUCAACCUGGGAACUGCUUUCAAAACUGCUGAGCUAGAGUACGGUAGAGGGUGGUGGAAUUUCCUGUGUAGCGGUGAAAUGCGUAGAUAUAGGAAGGAACACCAGUGGCGAAGGCGACCACCUGGACUGAUACUGACACUGAGGUGCGAAAGCGUGGGGAGCAAACAGGAUUAGAUACCCGUGGUAGUCCACGCCGUAAACGAUGUCAACUA